UACGAAGGGGGCUAGCGUUGUUCGGAAUUACUGGGCGUAAAGGGCUGGUAGGUGGCCAACUAAGUCGGAUGUGAAAUCCCCAGGCUUAACCUGGGAACUGCAUCCGAUACUGGUCGGCUUGAAUCCGGGAGAGGGAUGCAGAAUUCCAGGUGUAGCGGUGAAAUGCGUAGAUAUCUGGAGGAACACCGGUGGCGAAGGCGGCAUCCUGGACCAACACUGACACUGAGGAGCGAAAGCCAGGGGAGCAAACGGG
RNAcentral lists this ribosomal RNA (253 nucleotides) under uncultured bacterium. RNAcentral's name for it is "partial 16S ribosomal RNA". It matches the Rfam family "Bacterial small subunit ribosomal RNA", at positions 524 to 776 of the family's 1533-position model. The record is from RNAcentral.